UCGGAUGGGGUGAGUAACGCGUGAGAAUCUGCCCUUAGGAGGGGGACAACAGUUGGAAACGACUGCUAAUACCCCAUAUGCCGAGAGGUGAAACAUUAAUGGCCUGAGGAGGAGCUCGCGUCUGAUUAGCUAGUUGGUGGGGUAACGGCCUACCAAGGCGACGAUCAGUAGCUGGUCUGAGAGGAUGAUCAGCCACACUGGGACUGAGACACGGCCCAGACUCCUACGGGAGGCAGCAGUGGGGAAUUUUCCGCAAUGGGCGAAAGCCUGACGGAGCAAGACCGCGUGAGGGAGGAAGGUCUGUGGAUUGUAAACCUCUUUUCUCAGGGAAGAAGAACUGACGGUACCUGAGGAAUCAGCAUCGGCUAACUCCGUGCCAGCAGCCGCGGUAAUACGGAGGAUGCAAGCGUUAUCCGGAAUUAUUGGGCGUAAAGCGUCCGUAGGUGGCUAAGCAAGUCUGCUGUUAAAGAGCGGAGCUAAACUCCGUAAAGGCGGUGGAAACUGCAUAGCUAGAGUGUGGUAGGGGUAGAGGGAAUUCCCAGUGUAGCGGUGAAAUGCGUAGAUAUUGGGAAGAACACCGGUGGCGAAGGCGCUCUACUG
Molecule: ribosomal RNA, 600 nt
Filed under: Toxifilum sp. LEGE 06021
Lineage: Bacteria; Bacillati; Cyanobacteriota; Cyanophyceae; Oculatellales; Oculatellaceae
Description: bacterial SSU rRNA
Rfam family: Bacterial small subunit ribosomal RNA
Source: RNAcentral